AUUGAACGCUGGCGGCAGGCCUAACACAUGCAAGUCGAACGGCAGCGGGGGGUAGCUUGCUACCCCGCCGGCGAGUGGCGGACGGGUGAGUAAUGCCUGGGGAGCUGCCCAAUCGAGGGGGAUACCAGUUGGAAACGACUGCUAAUACCGCAUACGCCCUGAGGGGGAAAGGUGGGGAUCUUCGGACCUACCGCGAUUGGAUGCACCCAGGUGGGAUUAGCUAGUUGGUGAGGUAACGGCUCACCAAGGCGACGAUCUCUAGCUGGUCUGAGAGGAUGACCAGCCACACUGGAACUGAGACACGGUCCAGACUCCUACGGGAGGCAGCAGUGGGGAAUAUUGCACAAUGGGGGAAACCCUGAUGCAGCCAUGCCGCGUGUGUGAAGAAGGCCUGGUGUAAG
Molecule: ribosomal RNA, 401 nt
Filed under: uncultured bacterium
Lineage: Bacteria
Description: bacterial SSU rRNA
Rfam family: Bacterial small subunit ribosomal RNA
Source: RNAcentral